UGCGUAGGCGGCCUGGUAAGUCUGGCGUGAAAGCCCAGGGCUCAGCCCUGGAAGUGCGCUAGAAACUGCGAGGCUCGAGUGCCGGAGGGGAGAGUGGAAUUCCUGGUGUAGCGGUGAAAUGCGUAGAUAUCAGGAGGAAUACCGGUGGCGAAAGCGACUCUCUGGACGGCAACUGACGCUGAGGCACGAAAGCGUGGGGAGCAAACA
RNAcentral lists this ribosomal RNA (207 nucleotides) under uncultured bacterium. RNAcentral describes it as "partial 16S ribosomal RNA". It matches the Rfam family "Bacterial small subunit ribosomal RNA", at positions 568 to 774 of the family's 1533-position model. The record is from RNAcentral.